AUUGAACGCUGGCGGCAGGCCUAACACAUGCAAGUCGAACGAGUGGCGGACGGGUGAGUAAUGUCUGGGAAACUGCCCGAUGGAGGGGGAUAACUACUGGAAACGGUAGCUAAUACCGCAUACUAUCGGAUGUGCCCAGAUGGGAUUAGCUGGUAGGUGAGGUAAUGGCUCACCUAGGCGACGAUCCCUAGCUGGUCUGAGAGGAUGACCAGCCACACUGGAGCUGAGACACGGUCCAGACUCCUACGGGAGGCAGCAGUGGGGAAUAUUGCACAAUGGGCGCAAGCCUGAUGCAGCCAUGCCGCGGGUAUGAAGAAGGCCUUCGGGUUGUAAAGUACUUUCAGCGGGGAGGCGUUACCCGCAGAAGAAGCACCGGCUAACUCCGUGCCAGCAGCCGCGGUAAUAC
RNAcentral lists this ribosomal RNA (406 nucleotides) under uncultured bacterium. RNAcentral describes it as "partial 16S ribosomal RNA". It matches the Rfam family "Bacterial small subunit ribosomal RNA", at positions 30 to 526 of the family's 1533-position model. The record is from RNAcentral.